UACGUAGGGUGCGAGCGUUGUCCGGAAUUAUUGGGCGUAAAGGGCUCGUAGGCGGUUUGUCACGUCGGGAGUGAAAACUCAGGGCUCAACCCUGAGCCUGCUUCCGAUACGGGCAGACUAGAGGUAUGCAGGGGAGAACGGAAUUCCUGGUGUAGCGGUGAAAUGCGCAGAUAUCAGGAAGAACACCGAUGGCGAAGGCAGCUCUCUGGGACGGUACUGACGCUGAGACGCGAAAGCGUGGGGAGCGAACAGG
Molecule: ribosomal RNA, 253 nt
Filed under: uncultured bacterium
Lineage: Bacteria
Description: partial 16S ribosomal RNA
Rfam family: Bacterial small subunit ribosomal RNA
Source: RNAcentral